Small nucleolar RNA from Cricetulus griseus (Chinese hamster), 190 nucleotides. Ensembl annotates it as small nucleolar RNA SNORD97. NCBI's taxonomy places the organism in Eukaryota, Metazoa, Chordata, Mammalia, Rodentia, Cricetidae. The record is from Ensembl.
UUGCCCGAUGAUUAUAAAAAGACGCGAAAGAGGACUUGAAGCUGGAUCUUUUCCUUUUUUCUCUUCUAUUCUUUCUCACUCUCAUCUCUACUAUUCUUUCUCACUUGUCUCUACUUUCCCUAUUCUCUGCUUCUUUUUCUCUUUGGAUAUCCAGCGUCCGAUGAGCGAAGAUUAUGAGAUAUGAGGGCAA